AUGGACUUCCGGGUCAGCGCCAUUGGUGAAUGGCGGAGUUCCUCCGAUUGGAGGAACGGGCUCCGUGGAAACUGGGUCUUCCCGCUGGGCGAAGGUGGGGACCCGCUAGAAAUCCCAGGCAGAGGAAGCCUGGGAACGUGGGGUUCGGCAGGGCACCAGAAGCGCCCCCCUACUCGCGGGGAAUCCCAUUUAGGGGCUCCGGAGCGAAGUGGGGUGAGAAGUGCGGUGCUACGAACUGACUGCUACUUUCACGGAGUGAAGCCGCACAGCCAUUGCCAGAGAGUGCUGACUUUUUCCUGUGGACAAUUGGACUUAAAACAAGUACCCGUGAGUAGAAACGGAAAAUUGGAUCAAGAAAUUGCUUAAUUUGGUAUCGAAGUGGGAAGGUGCAAAACAGGAAGUCCGCCUUCCGCUUUUUGUAUAUAGACUAAAGCAAAAAUUUUGUAAGCUAAAGCCGGGAAAGCUGUCAAAAAAGACUAAAUUUCCUUCCUUCAGAAUCACUGAAACCCCCCUUGGAAGCAGGAGAAAAGGGGGGGGACUCUGUUUAACCCUAGCAGGGGAGGGAGUGAAGAAGGAUAAGUUUCCACCGUCUCUAACCUGGGAACGGGGUGUCAGAGACAGAAACUGUUAGAGAGGUUCAUUGACUGUGAAUGGAAUAUUUUGACAGAUAGCUAAUGAAGAGAAACAAGUUGAUUCUAAUGUUGCCUUUUGCAUUUUAAAGAAACAAAAUAUCUGAAAAACAUCUGAAAUAUCUGAAAAAUGAAAGUAACUUUCCUUUGUCUUUUAAAAAAAAAUGGAUACAAAUAGAAAUUGUCUCCUCUAGAGGGAGCUUGUUAAAUUGUUGCUGCAGUAUACUUGAGGACCCAACAUCUGUGAGAUUAAGAUCGUGGGAACAGUUUUUUCUGACCUUGACCAAAGAUGAGCUGGGAGGAAGACUGGGUGCUUGCUUUAUGCAAGACAAAUGCCUUGCUGGAACAGAUGCAUGAGAAGAUGGACUUGAUGAAUGAGAAAAUGGAUUUGACUGUCGUGGUUAAUAACUGUGGACAAACAGGGAACAUUGAUACAGAAAUCAUCCAGGAACCAACCUAUGAAUCUGUACUGACUGGGCAAGUGCAGAUGACAAUGGAGGAGGAUGCGGCUGCACCUCAAAUAAUACAAAUGGAGAGACCCGAGACCCUACAGGAGCAUAAGCCGCUGUUAUUGAAGAUUGAAGUUGGAGUGGGCCAGGGGGAGUUUGGAGAUGAGGAGGUUCCUAACCUUGGAGAGAUCUUGAAAUAUGAUUUUAAAUACUUUUUGGAUUAUAUCGAGGACUGUGGGGAGUGGGACUGUGGGGAAUGGGCGAGCUGGAUGAAGGGAGAUGGAGACAAUUUUGGGUUGGAAUCCCCCAGAGACCUACUCCUCAAUGAGAAAGGAAAGAAAUUAAGACAGAGACCAACAAAAGACAAGGAAAAGGGCAAGUACAAAUAAGAAGAAGAACUGCAGAAGGGACAUGGAAGAGACUUAAGGGCCUCGGACAUAAGGCUUCCAGGUUGAUGGACUAGAUGGAAUGGACAGUAAGGACUGACACGAUCCGAGACCAGGAAGAAGAGACACUGGAUGAUGAUUGGAAGAAAAUUUAUAAUGGAAAUUUUUUAUUUUAGAAUCAGCUUAAUGAAUAUUAGGGAAAAUGUUGGAAUGAAACUAUAUGACUCUAGCAGAAAUGAUAUCAGGAGCUAUGUAUAUUUGAAAACUAAGAUUUAAGUUUUAAGGUAUUUUGGGGUAAGAUAAGGUUAAAUAAAUUAAGGUAAUUUGAAUAACAGAAUAUGGGGAAAGAUGGAAAGGAUUUGUUGAGUUAACUAUUAGGUUAAAUUGUUAAGAUAAAUUUUUUUUAACAAAAAUUGAGAAAGAUGGAAAGAAUUUGCUGAAAUAAUUAAUUAAACUAGAAUAGAAAAAGGAAGGUGUGAGGAGGUCAACGAAACAAGCAAAUGGAAAUUAUAGAUAUGCAAUUUGGGAUUUGUGUUUUUUCUUUUUUCUUCUUUUUUUUGCUGUAUUGUAUUGGUUUUUAUAUUUUGCAUUUUUCUCUUUUCUUUUUGUAUUGUAGUGUUGUUUUUUAUUUUUUAUUUUUUUUGUAAUUCUGAAAUUAUUAAUAAAUAUUAUU
This 2137-nucleotide long non-coding RNA is filed under the name Podarcis lilfordi (Lilford's wall lizard). The record is from RNAcentral. Lineage: Eukaryota; Metazoa; Chordata; Lepidosauria; Squamata; Lacertidae.